Molecule: non-coding RNA, 243 nt
Organism: Neolamprologus brichardi
Lineage: Eukaryota; Metazoa; Chordata; Actinopteri; Cichliformes; Cichlidae
Source: RefSeq, a predicted model, not a curated record
UCUUUAGACCCGACACCCCAGAAACCCAAAGAGAAGCCAAAGACACCAGAGCAGCCCAAGAAGGAUGGUGACCUAGACCUCUGGGAUGCAUUCGGACCAGGCGAUUCACAGCCAGAGAAACCCAAGAAACCAAGUCCUGGAGGCUCUGAUUCCAACGGAUUCGAUCUGGGAGACGCUGUCAAUCCAGGACCAACCACCAAACCUGACAAACCUGCUGUCAAGCCACCAAAGGGUGGAGGAGGU